GACGAACGCUGGCGGCGUGCCUAAUACAUGCAAGUUGAGCGCUGAAGGUUGGUACUUGUACCGACUGGAUGAGCAGCGAACGGGUGAGUAGCGCGUGGGGAAUCUGCCUUGGAGCGGGGGACAACAUUUGGAAACGAAUGCUAAUACCGCAUAAAAACUUUAAACACAAGUUUUAAGUUUGAAAGAUGCAAUUGCAUCACUCAAAGAUGAUCCCGCGUUGUAUUAGCUAGUUGGUGAGGUAAAGGCUCACCAAGGCGAUGAUACAUAGCCGACCUGAGAGGGUGAUCGGCCACAUUGGGACUGAGACACGGCCCAAACUCCUACGGGAGGCAGCAGUAGGGAAUCUUCGGCAAUGGACGAAAGUCUGACCGAGCAACGCCGCGUGAGUGAAGAAGGUUUUCGGAUCGUAAAACUCUGUUGGUAGAGAAGAACGUUGGUGAGAGUGGAAAGCUCAUCAAGUGACGGUAACUACCCAGAAAGGGACGGCUAACUACGUG
This 497-nucleotide ribosomal RNA is filed under the name uncultured bacterium. RNAcentral describes it as "partial 16S ribosomal RNA". It matches the Rfam family "Bacterial small subunit ribosomal RNA", at positions 28 to 507 of the family's 1533-position model. The record is from RNAcentral.